GACGAACGCUGGCGGCGUGCUUAACACAUGCAAGUCGAACGGAAAGGCCUCUUUCGGGGGGUACUCGCGUGGCGAACGGGUGAGUAACACGUGAGUAACCUGCCCUUGACUUUGGGAUAACUUCAGGAAACUGGGGCUAAUACCGGAUAGGAGCUCCUGCUGCAUGGUGGGGGUUGGAAAGUUUCGGCGGUUGGGGAUGGACUCGCGGCUUAUCCGCUUGUUGGUGGGGUAGUGGCUUACCAAGGCUUUGACGGGUAGCCGGCCUGAGAGGGUGACCGGCCACAUUGGGACUGAGAUACGGCCCAGACUCCUACUGGAGGCAGCAGUGGGGAAUAUUGCACAAUGGGUGGAAGCCUGAUGCAGCAACGCCGUGUGCGGGAUGACGGCCUUCGGGUUGUAAACCGCUUUCGCUCAUGACGAAGCUUUGUGUGACGGUAGUGGGUAAAGAAGCACCGGCUAACUACGUG
This 467-nucleotide ribosomal RNA is filed under the name uncultured bacterium. RNAcentral's name for it is "partial 16S ribosomal RNA". It matches the Rfam family "Bacterial small subunit ribosomal RNA", at positions 28 to 507 of the family's 1533-position model. The record is from RNAcentral.